RNAcentral lists this ribosomal RNA (460 nucleotides) under uncultured bacterium. RNAcentral's name for it is "partial 16S ribosomal RNA". It matches the Rfam family "Bacterial small subunit ribosomal RNA", at positions 338 to 795 of the family's 1533-position model. The record is from RNAcentral.
CCUACGGGCGGCAGCAGUGAGGAAUAUUGGUCAAUGGGCGAGAGCCUGAACCAGCCAAGUCGCGUGAAGGAUGACGGCCCUACGGGUUGUAAACUUCUUUUGUCAGGGAGCAAUUGGGUCCACGCGUGGGCUUUGCGAGAGUACCUGAAGAAAAAGCAUCGGCUAACUCCGUGCCAGCAGCCGCGGUAAUACGGAGGAUGCGAGCGUUAUCCGGAUUGAUUGGGUUAAAGGGGGGCGUAGGGGGAAUAUCAAGUCAGCGGUAAAAAUUCGGGGCCAAACCCCGUCGUGCCGUUGAAACUGAUGGUCUUGAGUGGGCGAGAAGUAUGCGGAAUGCGUGGUGUAGCGGUGAAAUGCAUAGAUAUCACGAAGAACUCCGAUUGCGAAGGCAGCAUACUGGCCCCCAACUGACGCUGAGGCACGAAAGCGUGGGUAUCGAACAGGAUUAGAUACCCGUGUAGUC